Molecule: transfer RNA, 70 nt
Filed under: Mactra cumingii
Lineage: Eukaryota; Metazoa; Mollusca; Bivalvia; Venerida; Mactridae
Description: tRNA-Ile
Source: RNAcentral
GGCGUUGUGCCAGAAAAAUUGGGUCACUUUGAUGUAGUGGAAGAUGGGAAUAAAAUUUUCUCCGACGUCU